RNAcentral lists this ribosomal RNA (253 nucleotides) under uncultured bacterium. RNAcentral describes it as "partial 16S ribosomal RNA". It matches the Rfam family "Bacterial small subunit ribosomal RNA", at positions 524 to 776 of the family's 1533-position model. The record is from RNAcentral.
UACGGAGGAUGCAAGCGUUAUCCGGAAUUAUUGGGCGUAAAGCGUCCGCAGGUGGCUCAUCAAGUCUGCUGUCAAAGGCAGGGGCUUAACCCCUGAAAGGCAGUGGAAACUGGGGAGCUAGAGUGCAGUAGGGGUAGAGGGAAUUCCCGGUGUAGCGGUGAAAUGCGUAGAGAUCGGGAAGAACAUCGGUGGCGAAGGCGGUUCUCUGGGAAUAUCCUGACGCUGAGGAGCGAAAGUGUGGGGAGCGAACAGG